AUUGCUUCUCAGCCUUUGGCUAAGAUCAAGUGUAGUAUCUGUUCUUAUCAGUUUAAAAAAGGAAAAAUAAAACAUUUGUAGUAUAAAUGCACUAUAAAUACAUGAAUUCUUCAAGUUUUAUAACCAUU
This 128-nucleotide small nuclear RNA is filed under the name Suricata suricatta (meerkat). RNAcentral describes it as "U2 spliceosomal RNA (ENSSSUG00005004771.1)". The stretch from base 1 to 112 matches the Rfam family "U2 spliceosomal RNA". Rfam says of the family: U2 is a small nuclear RNA (snRNA) component of the spliceosome (involved in pre-mRNA splicing). Complementary binding between U2 snRNA (in an area lying towards the 5' end but 3' to hairpin I) and the branchpoint sequence (BPS) of the intron results the bulging out of an unpaired adenosine, on the BPS, which initiates a nucleophilic attack at the intronic 5' splice site, thus starting the first of two transesterification reactions that mediate splicing. The record is from RNAcentral. Lineage: Eukaryota; Metazoa; Chordata; Mammalia; Carnivora; Herpestidae.